Molecule: RNA transcript, 1230 nt
Organism: Vicia villosa (hairy vetch)
Lineage: Eukaryota; Viridiplantae; Streptophyta; Magnoliopsida; Fabales; Fabaceae
Gene name: spindle and kinetochore-associated protein 1 homolog
Exons: 9
Source: RefSeq, a predicted model, not a curated record
GCCGCCAAAACAAGUUUCAAACACUAUCUUUUUCAAAAAUUCAGAUCAAAAGUUUUCGCAAACACGAAAAACCACUUUCCAUUUCAGAAACAUAGAGAUGAAUUCGUCGAACCCGAAGAACGCUGGUUCAUCACUGGAUGCAUUGAUGACUUCCUUCAAUGCUCGCAUUCUAGAGCUUCAACAACUCGUAAUCGCUAGAAACAUGUAUCCAGCGAGCAGUAUUCCAGAUCUUUCGGAUGUUGAUGCUGCUGUGAGUGCUUUGGAGCUUCAGGUGCAAACCAUUAAGGACUCCUUUCGCAAUGAGAUGGAAGCUAUUCCUAAAGCAAAGAAAUGUAUCGAUGCAUGCAUGCAGCAGCAAAAGAAACUGCAGAAUAUGUCUCUUUACAUUCCUUCCCAAAUGGCUGAUAAAACUACACUGUCAAAUUCAGAAACCAGUAGAGUUUUGUUUCCUGAAUUUUCUGGACUAGACUCUGGAUCAUUUGAGGCUUCAAAACUUGAUGUGGAGCCUGUUGCAUUGCCUAAGGAGAAAAAAGGCCGUGGUCCCCCACCAACAUGGUAUGUCACCGGAAGUGAACUAGAUUCCUUGUCAUCAUAUAUGAGGGGUAGACUUACUUUAGAGAAGGUGAAUGCAGCAAUCACAGAUAUGGCGUCUUAUGCGGAAGCUAAUACUCAGCUUAUCGCAGCUCCCAAAAAGAAGUUGUUUUUGUUUGAUCAUGAAGUUGGCAGAAAAUCUUUGGGAAAAAGCUCUGGAAAUAAGAGAUAUUGCAACAAUGGAAGGGAUUAAAGGAAAACACUUUUUCCUUGAAGCUGAUAUAAAAGGUCCAGCACUUAAACUUGACAACACUGGAAAGGCAAUAUUGACAGUUCUUCGACACCUUGGCCGUUUUAAUGAGACUCGUGUUGGGCAUCAUCGUGUUUUCAUUCUACAUAAGCCUCAUUAGGAAAAGUUAACAUUGACCUUUUGCUACAGAUAAAUUGUUGAGACUAUUAUCUGAUAAAACACAAAUGGUUGGUAUGCACGAGUAAUGUAAACUCUAGACUAUCAAGUUUAAUUCCUAUUAUUUUAUUUAGAAAAGUAGUUGAGAUUAUUUUACUUUCAUUUUGACCAUUAAUUUGUAAAUUCAAGUUGUUUUUUGUGUGUGGAAGUUUACUCUCACUUAGAUUGAUAUAUCUUCCAUAUGGGAAAACGUGUGUAUCCAUCUGCUUACAUAUGAAUGCAAAGAAAAAAUC